Molecule: ribosomal RNA, 433 nt
Filed under: uncultured bacterium
Lineage: Bacteria
Description: partial 16S ribosomal RNA
Rfam family: Bacterial small subunit ribosomal RNA
Source: RNAcentral
AACGAACGCUGGCGGCAUGCCUAACACAUGCAAGUCGAACGAGACCUUCGGGUCUAGUGGCGCACGGGUGCGUAACGCGUGGGAACCUGCCCUUAGGUUCGGAAUAACUCCCCGAAAGGGGUGCUAAUACCGGAUAAUGUCUUCGGACCAAAGAUUUAUAGCCUUUGGAUGGGCCCGCGUUGGAUUAGCUAGUUGGUAGGGUAAAAGCCUACCAAGGCGACGAUCCAUAGCUGGUCUGAGAGGAUGAUCAGCCACACUGGGACUGAGACACGGCCCAGACUCCUACGGGAGGCAGCAGUGGGGAAUAUAGGACAAUGGGCGAAAGCCUGAACCAGCAAUGCCGCGUGAGUGAUGAAGGCCUUAGGGUUGUAAAGCUCUUUUACCCGGGAUGAUAAUGACAGUACCGGGAGAAUAAGCUCCGGCUAACUCCGUG